Molecule: regulatory RNA element, 100 nt
Organism: Cetobacterium somerae ATCC BAA-474
Lineage: Bacteria; Fusobacteriati; Fusobacteriota; Fusobacteriia; Fusobacteriales; Fusobacteriaceae
Rfam family: Purine riboswitch aptamer
About the family: Riboswitches are metabolite binding domains within certain messenger RNAs that serve as precision sensors for their corresponding targets.
Source: Rfam
CUUUCUGGAAAUAGAUUGUUUAGUAUAAAGUUGAUAAUAGGGAUCAAAUGUUUCUACAGGCAGCCGUAAAUUGCCUACUACUAAAAAAAUCGGAGGAAUU